ACCCGCUGAACUUAAGCAUAUCAAUAAGCGGAGGAAAAGAAACCAACAGGGAUUGCCUCAGUAACGGCGAGUGAAGCGGCAAGAGCUCAAAUUUGAAAUCUGGCGCAAGCCCGAGUUGUAAUUUGAAGAGGAUGUCACGGUUGGGGUCGCUGCCGAAGUUCCUUGGAACAGGACGUCUUAGAGGGUGAGAAUCCCGUCCGGCUGCCGGCCUGCACCAUGUGUGACUCCUUCGAAGAGUCGAGUUGUUUGGGAAUGCAGCUCAAAAUGGGUGGUAAAUUUCAUCUAAAGCUAAAUAUUGGCGGGAGACCGAUAGCGCACAAGUAGAGUGAUCGAAAGAUGAAAAGCACUUUGAAAAGAGAGUUAAACAGUACGUGAAAUUGUUGAAAGGGAAGCGCUUGCGAUCAGACUCGCCUGCAGUUGAUCAACGUUCGUUCUCGUUCGUGCACUCUGCUGCUGGCGGGCCAGCAUCGGCCGGGACGGCGGGACAAAGGCGUCGGGAAUGUGGCUCCUCGGAGUGUUAUAGCCCGGCGUGCAAUGCCGCCAGAACCGGUCGAGGUCCGCGCUUCGGCUAGGAUGCUGGCUUAAUGGUCGUAAGCGACCCGUCUUGAAACACGG
Molecule: ribosomal RNA, 615 nt
Filed under: Orbilia epipora
Lineage: Eukaryota; Fungi; Ascomycota; Orbiliomycetes; Orbiliales; Orbiliaceae
Description: eukaryotic LSU rRNA
Rfam family: Eukaryotic large subunit ribosomal RNA
Source: RNAcentral